RNAcentral lists this ribosomal RNA (375 nucleotides) under uncultured bacterium. Its description in RNAcentral is "bacterial SSU rRNA". It matches the Rfam family "Bacterial small subunit ribosomal RNA", at positions 363 to 729 of the family's 1533-position model. The record is from RNAcentral.
CAUUCGCAAUGGGCGAAAGCCUGACGAUGCGACGCCGUGUGAGCGAUGAAGGCCUUAGGGUUGUAAAGCUCUUUCGCUUGGGAACAAGAAAGGUACAAUAAUAUUGUGCCGAUUUGAGGGUACCAGGUAAAGAAGCACCGGCUAACUCCGUGCCAGCAGCUGCGGUAAUACGGAGGGUGCAAGCAUUAAUCGGAUUUAUUGGGCGUAAAGGGCGCGUAGGCGAAACAUAAGGUAGAUGUUAAGAUCGGGGCUAACCUCGAAAGGCAUUAAUACUGUGAUCAAGGGAGCGAGAAAAGAUUCCACAAGAGCGGUAAAUGCGAAAUGUGAGAAUCCGGUGCAAGCGGUUUCUGUUUUCCUGCGAGGGCAGUCGGAAUU